RNAcentral lists this unclassified non-coding RNA (377 nucleotides) under uncultured Solirubrobacterales bacterium. RNAcentral describes it as "contains 16S-23S intergenic spacer region". Lineage: Bacteria; Bacillati; Actinomycetota; Thermoleophilia; Solirubrobacterales. The record is from RNAcentral.
UCCGGUUUGUCACCGGCAGUCUCGCGUGAGUCCCCAACUUAAUGCUGGCAACACGCGACAAGGGUUGCGCUCGUUGCGGGACUUAACCCAACAUCUCACGACACGAGCUGACGGCAGCCAUGCACCACCUGUGAACCUGCUCCGAAGAGAGGACCUGUUUCCAGGCCGGUCAGGCACAUGUCAAGCCCAGGUAAGGUUCUUCGCGUUGCGUCGAAUUAAACCACAUGCUCCGCUGCUUGUGCGGGCCCCCGUCAAUUCCUUUGAGUUUUAGCCUUGCGGCCGUACUCCCCAGGCGGGGCACUUAAUGCGUUAGCUACGGCACGGAACCCGUUGAUAAGGCCCCACACCUAGUGCCCAACGUUUACGGCGUGGACUAC